AUAUGAAAUACAUAAAUCACCUUUGUGCGUAUGCAUAAAGGAUUCUAUUUACGCAUUAUUUCUUUGGGAGUGAAAGGGGAACGUUCCCUUUGAGAAGGGCAACUUGCUAGUCAUACUAGAGUCAUCCUUCUAAUUGAAGUUUAUCAUCAUAUGAGAAACUUCCUAAAAUCUUUUGUCUAUUAUUAGGGAUUGAUAUAAUCAAAUUAUAUCUUGAAAUCUAUCAUUAUGGAUUCACUUCCCAUGUUUAUAGACAAUGUCUCCCAUAUACAUUCUAUCGUUUAUAGAAUGUUUAAAGUCAUAACUUUAACGAAGAAAUAUUCUUUUCAUUUCCAAAAUUAAUAUAUCAUAUAUAUAUUCAUAUAUAUCACAUAUAUAUUCAUAUAUAUCACAUAUAUAUUUAUAUAUAUAUACAAAUUUAGGAAUAUGGUUAACUCCCACUAAUCUUUUGUAAACCUAGUAAACAAAAGAUUCAUUUACAUCUUUAUGAGAAAUCAAACGAUUUGACCUUUCUCUCAUAAGACGCUUAUAGCUCCCACUAGCUUGCCAAGAUCCAUGAUGGAUGGAUCUCUACAACUUACAUGUCUUGUGAUUCAUAGUUUUAGACAUAUAUUAUCAAGACUAUCUUAAUAAUGGUUUCGGAAACCUAUAUUAUGUCCAAACAUUGAAUCACCAUUUAGUUGUAGCUAGCAUUCUUCGAAUUAAUUGAAACUAAGACUACGUCAAAAAUGGUUCCUUCAAAGUCAACCAUUCUCUUUGAUUGUAGUCACCUUAAGCUACCAAUUAGCUAUUAAGGUUUCAUUAUUUCGAGUCAAAUGGUACUUUACCAUUUUCUUGAGUAUAUAUCAUAUAUAUACACUGAAUGUAGUCAUAAGGAUUUUCAUUCUUAGUUCUUUCGAAUUAAGAGGUGCAACUCUAUGACAUAGUCAUAAAGUUCAAAACCAUUCAACUGAGACGGUUUAUA
This 961-nucleotide long non-coding RNA is filed under the name Malus domestica (apple). Its description in RNAcentral is "long non-coding RNA (MDOM_LNC003744)". The record is from RNAcentral. Lineage: Eukaryota; Viridiplantae; Streptophyta; Magnoliopsida; Rosales; Rosaceae.